Molecule: non-coding RNA, 727 nt
Filed under: Euborellia annulipes
Lineage: Eukaryota; Metazoa; Arthropoda; Insecta; Dermaptera; Anisolabididae
Source: RNAcentral
AAUAAGUUUAGUUUUGGCUUAAAUUUAUACCUCUCUUUAUAAUAUAUGUAAUGUUUUAAAUAGAAAGGUUGCAGUAUUAAAUUUUAAUAAUUGAAUUAGUUUAGAAUUAGUAAAUGGGAAGAGAUUAAGCUAAAGGCGUGCCAGCCGCUGCGGUUAAACGCUUUAAUCAAUAUAAAUUUAUUGGAAAUAGGUUAAAUAGUAUAUAAAAUUAUAACUUAUUUAUUUGUGAAAUUAUAAUAAUAAGUUUAAAAUUAUUUUAUGAUUUGAUACCUAAUGAUAAUUGGCUUAAACUAGGAUUAGAUACCCUAUUAUUCAAAUUAUUAUAAUAUUUCCGGAGGAGUAGUAGUUAUAAUCUUGAAAUUCAAAAAACUUGGCGGUUCUUUAGACGAGUUAGAGGAACCUGUGCCGUAAUCGAUAGUCCACGAAAUAACUUACUAUAAUUUUGCUUAUAUACCGUUGUCGUGAAGAUGAUUUUUUAAGAAUUUAUCUAAAUUUAUAAUUUAAAAGAUGUCAGAUCAAGGUGUAGCUAUAUUAUAGAGAGUAUGGGUUACAAUAUUAAUAAGUACACGGAAUUUAUUUGUGAAUAUAAGGAAGGCGGAUUUAAACGUAAAUAUAUAAAGAUAUUGAGUGAAGCUCUGAAGAAUGCACAUAUCGCCCGUCACUCUCAUUUUAAAGUUGAGAUAAGUCGUAACAUAGUAGAUAUACUGGAAAGUAUAUCUAGAAAGUU